RNAcentral lists this long non-coding RNA (395 nucleotides) under Vigna radiata. Its description in RNAcentral is "long non-coding RNA (VRAD_LNC000580)". Lineage: Eukaryota; Viridiplantae; Streptophyta; Magnoliopsida; Fabales; Fabaceae. The record is from RNAcentral.
GUUUAAUCGAUUAAAACAGCUUGUGGAUGAUUCUCAACAGUAAAUAAAUCAAAUAUAAAUUACAAGAAUCAACCCUAAUACAUAUUUGAGCACUAUUACAUCAACUUUGAUUAUUAUAAAAGCUUUAUAAAAUACAGAGAUCUUCAAUUCGUCUUUAUGGAUCUUGACUUGUGCAAAUCUGUUCAUCAUCAAAACUUCAUCUUUUAUUUUUGCUAACAUUCUCCCCCUUUUUGAUGAUGAUCAAAAACUAUCUCCAAGUUUAAAGCUUUUUAAUAAUCUAUAACAAACACAACUCAUAAAGGAAGAGAGCAUUAGAAAAUAAAAGGAUCUUUAAACUAUUUUCUCCCCCUUUUUUGAUCAUAAGAAAAAAAUUAUAUUUAAUAAAUUUCUCCCCC